UCUUUUCAGGUAUUCUAUGC
RNAcentral lists this non-coding RNA (20 nucleotides) under Arabidopsis thaliana (thale cress). Lineage: Eukaryota; Viridiplantae; Streptophyta; Magnoliopsida; Brassicales; Brassicaceae. The record is from RNAcentral.